GACGAACGCUGGCGGCGUGCUUAACACAUGCAAGUCGAGCGGUAAGGCCCUUCGGGGUACACGAGCGGCGAACGGGUGAGUAACACGUGGGUGACCUGCCCUCCACUUCGGGAUAAGCCUGGGAAACUGGGUCUAAUACCGGAUAGGACCUUCUGGGUGCAUGCCGGUGGGUGGAAAGUUUUUCGGUGGGGGAUGGGCCCGCGGUCUAUCAGCUUGUUGGUGGGGUGAUGGCCUACCAAGGCGACGACGGAUAGCCGGCCUGAGAGGGUGAUCGGCCACACUGGGACUGAGACACGGCCCAGACUCCUACGGGAGGCAGCAGUGGGGAAUCUUGCGCAAUGGGCGAAAGCCUGACGCAGCGACGCCGCGUGAGGGAUGACG
This 381-nucleotide ribosomal RNA is filed under the name uncultured bacterium. Its description in RNAcentral is "bacterial SSU rRNA". It matches the Rfam family "Bacterial small subunit ribosomal RNA", at positions 28 to 413 of the family's 1533-position model. The record is from RNAcentral.